UUUUAUCAGUGAGUGGCGAACGGGUGAGUAAUACAUAAGUAACCUGCCCUCAUGAGGGGGAUAACUAUUAGAAAUGAUAGCUAAGACCGCAUAGGUGAAGGGGUCGCAUGACCGCUUCAUUAAAUAUCCGUAUGGAUAGCAGGAGGAUGGACUUAUGGCGCAUUAGCUGGUUGGUGAGGUAACGGCUCACCAAGGCGACGAUGCGUAGCCGACCUGAGAGGGUGGACGGCCACACUGGGACUGAGACACGGCCCAGACUCC
Molecule: ribosomal RNA, 261 nt
Filed under: uncultured Coprobacillus sp.
Lineage: Bacteria; Bacillati; Bacillota; Erysipelotrichia; Erysipelotrichales; Coprobacillaceae
Description: partial 16S ribosomal RNA
Rfam family: Bacterial small subunit ribosomal RNA
Source: RNAcentral